GAUUUUCUCUGUUCAGUUACUAUAACAACUCCACCAGACUGUUACCAUGCCGGAACGUGGAAUUCAGAGUGAAUCCGUGUCCCCAGGCCAUGGCCACUUGCACUUGACUCCGGAAUAAGCUUCUCUUUGAGAUGAGAGCUGAGCUUUUACAUCAGUAGAAGAGAAUCAAUCUAGUCCAGGCCUUUGUGGAUCCCAAACCAAAUUCUUAGUUAGGCCUAUGCCACUUCCUGCCCAAAUGAAGAGUCUGGAAAGGUGCUCUGUGACCAUUGGCUCUUCUCCCAACUGUCUCUGAGGACUUCAUCAGCCAGGGAGCAGGUGGUGAGAACCCAGUAUGGUGCUGUUAUUACAGCAGAGAAUGCAGAAGGCAGGAGCCCAAGCACACCAGUACUGAAGGCCACUCAGGCAGUACACGGGAUCUUGAAAAUUAGAAGUAAACUCUAGAUGUCUCCAUCGUGACUCGACAAGAGAAACAACAGCCCCCCUCUCAGCUCCACCUUUGCCAAUGCCAGCUAAGGUGCUCACGAACUCCUGGCUUCACAGAGGACAGAGGUCAAAAGCCAUCCUAGGAGGUACAAGAGAAUGACCCAGUCUCCUAGAGGAGAGAGUCUCAACUGGGCCACCUUCUGUUCAGGUGGCAUCUGGUUGGGAAAUACGUAUUAGAAACAUUUUUUUUUCUAAAAUAGCGAAAAAUGUGUCACACAGAGAGAAAUUGACAAGCACAGUUACACCGUGAGAUUCCUACACUUGGGUGCUCUGUAAUGUGUCCUCAAGUUUGCUUAACCAAUAAAAUGCAAAAUGGUA
This 801-nucleotide long non-coding RNA is filed under the name Rattus norvegicus (Norway rat). RNAcentral describes it as "long non-coding RNA NONRATT033681". The record is from RNAcentral. Lineage: Eukaryota; Metazoa; Chordata; Mammalia; Rodentia; Muridae.